CAUGCAAGUCGAGCGAAUGGAUUAAGAGCUUGCUCUUAUGAAGUUAGCGGCGGACGGGUGAGUAACACGUGGGUAACCUGCCCAUAAGACUGGGAUAACUCCGGGAAACCGGGGCUAAUACCGGAUAACAUUUUGAACCGCAUGGUUCGAAAUUGAAAGGCGGCUUCGGCUGUCACUUAUGGAUGGACCCGCGUCGCAUUAGCUAGUUGGUGAGGUAACGGCUCACCAAGGCAACGAUGCGUAGCCGACCUGAGAGGGUGAUCGGCCACACUGGGACUGAGACACGGCCCAGACUCCUACGGGAGGCAGCAGUAGGGAAUCUUCCGCAAUGGACGAAAGUCUGACGGAGCAACGCCGCGUGAGUGAUGAAGGCUUUCGGGUCGUAAAACUCUGUUGUUAGGGAAGAACAAGUGCUAGU
Molecule: ribosomal RNA, 418 nt
Filed under: Bacillus sp. DJ5
Lineage: Bacteria; Bacillati; Bacillota; Bacilli; Caryophanales; Bacillaceae
Description: bacterial SSU rRNA
Rfam family: Bacterial small subunit ribosomal RNA
Source: RNAcentral